This 446-nucleotide ribosomal RNA is filed under the name uncultured bacterium. RNAcentral describes it as "partial 16S ribosomal RNA". It matches the Rfam family "Bacterial small subunit ribosomal RNA", at positions 338 to 795 of the family's 1533-position model. The record is from RNAcentral.
CCUACGGGUGGCAGCAGUCGAGAAUCAUUCACAAUGGGGGAAACCCUGAUGGUGCGACGCCGCGUGGGGGAAUGAAGGUCUUCGGAUUGUAAACCCCUGUCAUGUGGGAGCAAAGUAAAAAGAUAGUACCACAAGAGGAAGAGCCGGCUAACCCUGUGCCAGCAGCCGCGGUAAUACAGAGGUCUCAAGCGGUGUUCGGAAUCACUGGGCGUAAAGUGUGCGUGGGCGGUUUCGUAAGUCGGGUGGGAAAGGUGCGGGCUAAAACCGCGGCCGGCACAUGAUACUGCGAGACUAGAGUAAUGGAGGGGGAACCGGAAGUCUCGGUGUAGCAGUGAAAUGCGUAGAUAUCGCGAGGAACACUCGUGGCGAAGGCGGGUUCCUGGACAUUAACUGACGCUGAGGCGCGAAGGCCAGGGGAGCGAAAGGGAUUAGAUACCCUGGUAGUC